CAGUGGCGAAGGCGGCUUGCUGGGCCGGACCUGACGCUGAGGCGCGAAGGCGUGGGGAGCGAACGGGAUUAGAUACCCCGGUAGUCCACGCAGUAAACGAUGCACACUAGGUGUGGGGGGUAUCGAGCCCCUCCGUGCCGUAGUCAACACAGUAAGUGUGCCACCUGAGGAGUACGGCCGCAAGGUUAAAACUCAAAGGAAUUGACGGGGGCCCGCACAAGCAGCGGAGCGUGUGGUUUAAUUCGAUGCAACGCGAAGAACCUUACCUAGACUUGACAUGACCCGGAAAGGCCUGGAAACAGGUCCCUCUUCGGACCGGGCCACAGAUGUUGCAUGGCUGUCGUCAGCUCGGGUCGUGAGAUGUUGGGUUAAGUCCCGCAACGAGCGCAACCCUCGUGUGAUGUUGCACAUCAUCGCAGACUGCCGGUACAAGCCGGAGGAAGGUGGGGAUGACGUCAAGUCCGCAUGGCUCUUACGUCUAGGGCUACACACACGCUACAAUGGUCGGGACAGAGCGCAGCCACGCCGCGAGGCGGAGCGAAUCGCAAAACCCGAUCUCAGUUCGGAUGGCAGGCUGCAACCCGCCUGCCUGAAGUCGGAGUUGCUAGUAACCGCGUGUCAGCAUAGCGCGGUGAAUAUGUUCCCGGGCCUUGUACACACCGCCCGUCACGUCAUGGGAGCCGCCAACACCUGAAGUCCGUGGGCCGACCCGCAAGGGGGGUAGCGGCCGAGGGUGGGGGGGGUGACUGGGACGAAGUCGUAACAAGGUAACC
RNAcentral lists this ribosomal RNA (773 nucleotides) under uncultured bacterium. Its description in RNAcentral is "bacterial SSU rRNA". It matches the Rfam family "Bacterial small subunit ribosomal RNA", at positions 710 to 1501 of the family's 1533-position model. The record is from RNAcentral.